UGGGGAAUAUUGGACAAUGGGGGAAACCCUGAUCCAGCAAUGCCGCGUGAGUGAAGAAGGCCUUAGGGUUGUAAAACUCUUUCACCCGUGAAGAUGAUGACGGUAGCGGGAGAAGAAGCUCCGGCUAACUCCGUGCCAGCAGCCGCGGUAAUACGGAGGGGGCUAGCGUUGCUCGGAAUUACUGGGCGUAAAGCGCGCGUAGGCGGUGGUUCUAGUUAGAUGUGAAAGGCCUGGGCUUAACCUAGGAACUGCAUUUAAUACUGGAUCGCUAGAAUCCGAGAGAGGGUAGUGGAAUUCCCAGUGUAGAGGUGAAAUUCGUAGAUAUUGGGAAGAACACCAGUGGCGAAGGCGGCUACCUGGCUCGGUAUUGACGCUGAGGUGCGAAAGCGUGGGGAGCAAACAGG
Molecule: ribosomal RNA, 404 nt
Filed under: uncultured Bdellovibrio sp.
Lineage: Bacteria; Pseudomonadati; Bdellovibrionota; Bdellovibrionia; Bdellovibrionales; Pseudobdellovibrionaceae
Also listed under: 1 other name
Description: bacterial SSU rRNA
Rfam family: Bacterial small subunit ribosomal RNA
Source: RNAcentral